This 227-nucleotide long non-coding RNA is filed under the name Lathyrus oleraceus (garden pea). RNAcentral's name for it is "Pisum sativum (pea) long non-coding RNA (PSAT_LNC013310)". The record is from RNAcentral. Lineage: Eukaryota; Viridiplantae; Streptophyta; Magnoliopsida; Fabales; Fabaceae.
GAUAAAGAAAAUAAAAAUAGAAAAAAAAUAGAAAAGAAAAAAAUGAAUGAGAAAAAUAGAAGGAUGUCAAUCAAUACAUACUCCUUCUGAAAAAGAAAAGGAAAAUAGAAAAGAAAAAAAAAUGAAUGAAAAAAAUAGAAGGAUGUCAAUCAAUACAUACUCCUUCUAAAAAAGAAAAAAAAAGAAAAAAAAAGAAAGGAGAAGAGAAAACAAUUGCUAUAGAGUUG